CCUACGCGAGGCAGCAGUGAGGAAUAUUGGUCAAUGGGCGCGAGCCUGAACCAGCCAAGUAGCGUGAAGGAUGACUGCCCUACGGGUUGUAAACUUCUUUUAUAAAGGAAUAAAGUGAGGCAAGUGUGCCUUUUUGUAUGUACUUUAUGAAUAAGGAUCGGCUAACUCCGUGCCAGCAGCCGCGGUAAUACGGAGGAGUCGAGCGUUAGCCGGAGUUAUUGGGUUUAAAGGGAGCGUAGAUGGAUUGUUAAGUCAGUUGUGAAAGUUUGCGGCUCAACCGUAAAAUUGCAAUUGAUACUGGCAGCCUUGAGUACAGUUGAGGUAGGCGGAAUUCGUGGUGUAGCGGUGAAAUGCUUAGAUAUCACGAAGAACUCCGAUUGCGAAGGCAGCCUACUAAACUGCCACUGACAUUGAUGCUCGAAAGUGUGGGUAUCAAACAGGAUUAGAUACCCUGGUAGUC
Molecule: ribosomal RNA, 460 nt
Filed under: uncultured bacterium
Lineage: Bacteria
Description: partial 16S ribosomal RNA
Rfam family: Bacterial small subunit ribosomal RNA
Source: RNAcentral